UCCUGUACAGCUUAGAAACCAGGAGCUUAUUGCCUUGCUUGCUCAAAAGCCUCAGGAGAGGAGACCAAGCAAGUCUAAAAGUUUUGGAGGUGGAAGGAACCUGCCUCCUCCUGACCCUGUGACCUUGAGAUUCACAGAAGUACAGAAGCAGCACAAUGGAGCUGAAAGAAAGUAUACUUCCUCAUUGAAAGCAAAAUGGUGCAACCAACUUCUAGCAUAUGGAAACAUUUCCACACUGCAAGUUAUUCUGAGAAAAAAA
This is a long non-coding RNA of Gavialis gangeticus (Gharial), 259 nucleotides long. RefSeq lists it as uncharacterized. The record is from RefSeq and is a predicted model, not a curated record. The transcript has 2 exons. NCBI's taxonomy places the organism in Eukaryota, Metazoa, Chordata, Crocodylia, Gavialidae.